Salmo salar (Atlantic salmon) is the source of this 1164-nucleotide long non-coding RNA. RefSeq lists it as uncharacterized. The record is from RefSeq and is a predicted model, not a curated record. Lineage: Eukaryota; Metazoa; Chordata; Actinopteri; Salmoniformes; Salmonidae.
GUCUCGUUGGGCAGACUGUUAAACAUUUUUAGAACUUGCGCAUCAAUAGGUUAAAAUGCCAGAUGGCGUAGUAGCAAGACGCAUUUGUUUUUGUCCCGUGUAAAUAUUCAGCCUUUUCCGUUUUUCUGUAUACAUUUCAAUCUCUUUUCCCAUUUUCAAAUUAAAUAUAUCUUUCUGCAACCCGCCUCACCCAAGGUGGUACGGAUCUAUUUUUUUUUUAGACCUUAUAACUGGAAACUCCAUUAGCAGCUAGCCAGCUAAUUAGCUACUAGCUAUUUUGUCAUUGUUAGCCACUGCUAGCGGCCUUUACCUUUAGCACAGACACCAGCCGCUUUAGCCCGGAUUGUAUCUGCCAGUCUGCACAGCGUGAUGUCAGCCCUGAGCAUGUCAGACUGCUAUUCUUUUUUUCCCACUGCCUCACUGGAUUACUGCCGCAAGCUCUGGACCAUUACACCGGAUCAUCGCAGCUAGCUAGCUGCUACAGAGCGGCUAUCGUGGCUAAUGCCUUUGUCCAGAAGCAAGCACCAGUUAGCCUCGAGCUAGGCCUAUUCCCACGGCUCGCAAACGAAGUACACCAACUACAAUAGCUCUCUUGUCAAUUGAUCUGGACCCUUUGUCGACACGGUGCCCGCCGAUCCAUCACGACUGGUCUGCUGACGUAUUUCGGCCGAUGUGCUCUCAACCGGCCUCUGCAUCGUUGAAGACCCAGCUGCUAGCCCCGGCCUGCUAGCUCUCUGAACGCCCUGUCUCCCGCUCACCUAGCGUAGUAACGACUACAGAAUGGCUCCGUUUCAUCCAUUAACCUCUGUCUCAGACGACUAGAAUUAAGUCUGAGGCCGGUAACAUCAACAGUGAAGACAAACCCAGCCUGCCUCUCUCCUUCCACACUGAGUCCAAACCUACAGUCACUGGGUCCUGAUUGUGACAGUGGAGCCCAGUUUGCACUGCAGGAUCCAGAGAUGGCAUCAGUGAAGCUGGAAGACUGCAGUCAAACACUGGAGCUGAAUGUCAACAUUAAAGAUGAAGAUUGGGAAAUCUGUUUCUCAUGGAGACCGUGUUGAGACAUUCUCUACAUCCAGAGAGCAACAGCAGGAAGAUCACAGAGCUAAGAGGUCUCACCACUGCCCACAUUGUGAGGAGAUUUUCCCAUUUCUAUCAAAGCUA